AGCUCCAAUAGCGUAUAUUAAAGUUGUUGCAGUUAAAAAGCUCGUAGUUGGAUCUCGGGCACUAGCAUGUGGUACACUUAAUUGUUGUUACUACUUGUCUAGUCCUAAUCAAUCGGUUUGCCAGUUUAUGCCCUUCACUGGGUGUUUUCUGUGGCCGGUACGUUUACUUUGAGAAAAUUAGAGUGCUUAAAGCAGGCAUAUGCCUGAAUAAUGUUGCAUGGAAUAAUAGAAUAGGACCUCGGUUCUAUUUUGUUGGUUUUGUAGAGCAUUGAGGUAAUGAUUAAUAGGGACAGACGGGGGCAUUCGUAUUGCAGUGUUAGAGGUGAAAUUCUUGGAUCGCUGCAAGACGAACAACUGCGAAAGCAUUUGCCAAGAAUGUUUUCAUUAAUCAAGAACGAAA
Molecule: ribosomal RNA, 400 nt
Filed under: phytoplankton environmental sample
Lineage: Eukaryota
Description: partial small subunit ribosomal RNA
Rfam family: Eukaryotic small subunit ribosomal RNA
Source: RNAcentral